This 69-nucleotide transfer RNA is filed under the name Peltonotellus sp. RNAcentral describes it as "tRNA-Ala". The record is from RNAcentral. Lineage: Eukaryota; Metazoa; Arthropoda; Insecta; Hemiptera; Caliscelidae.
AGGGAAAUAGUUUAAUAAAAACAUUUUAUUUGCAAUAAAAAAAAAUUAACAAUUAAUUAAUUUUCCUUA